RNAcentral lists this unclassified non-coding RNA (325 nucleotides) under Psychotria kirkii. RNAcentral describes it as "partial external transcribed spacer". The record is from RNAcentral. Lineage: Eukaryota; Viridiplantae; Streptophyta; Magnoliopsida; Gentianales; Rubiaceae.
CAGGAUCAACCAGGUAGCAUUCCUCAGGGACAUCGAGUCUCGAGAUGUAAAACACCUGUGAGACAUCGACAGUCAAUCGAAUGGGGCACGUAAUGCCGAUUUGUGGGCAAAUAGAGGGUUAUAUGACCCUUACCCGCAGCGUUUUUUGAAUCCCCGACAUCAAGCUACGCCCGUGGGUCGAGACCGCAUAGCAAUUCAUAUGCGAUUCGAAACACGAAUUUCGCUUCGAGGCUUUCCCGAUGCCGCACCGCGUAAACGGGCAGCAGUGGGAAAGAUUGGUAUAGAUUGCCCAACAAUUCCAGGGAUGUAGGUAUACAGCACAGGA